This 240-nucleotide long non-coding RNA is filed under the name Populus trichocarpa (black cottonwood). RNAcentral describes it as "long non-coding RNA (PTRI_LNC001543)". The record is from RNAcentral. Lineage: Eukaryota; Viridiplantae; Streptophyta; Magnoliopsida; Malpighiales; Salicaceae.
UUUUUUAUUUGAUUUUUACUUACAAUUUUAUCCCUCAGUUUUUAGUUUUAGUUGAUUUUUGUAUGAAGUUUGGUCCUCAUUCUUUUGAUUGUUUUUUUUAUUUUAAUUGCUUUUUUUUCUCAAUUUCAUCCCUCAUAAUUUGAUUUCAUUUUAUUUUUAUAUCAAAUUUAGUUCUUAUUCUUUCAAUUGCUCUUUGUUUUAUGUUAGAUCAUUUUCUAUUGAUUUUUUUCUCUAUUUCAU